AAGGGUAUAGCUCAGUGGUAGAGAGAACGCUCAGCAUGCAUGAGGUCCUGGGUUCAAUCCCCAGUACCUCCA
RNAcentral lists this transfer RNA (72 nucleotides) under Camelus bactrianus (Bactrian camel). It matches the Rfam family "tRNA". From Rfam's summary of the family: Transfer RNA (tRNA) molecules are approximately 80 nucleotides in length. Their secondary structure includes four short double-helical elements and three loops (D, anti-codon, and T loops). RNAcentral also lists the same sequence under 2 other names. The record is from Rfam by way of RNAcentral. Lineage: Eukaryota; Metazoa; Chordata; Mammalia; Artiodactyla; Camelidae.